Coregonus clupeaformis (lake whitefish) is the source of this 1175-nucleotide long non-coding RNA. RefSeq lists it as uncharacterized. The record is from RefSeq and is a predicted model, not a curated record. NCBI's taxonomy places the organism in Eukaryota, Metazoa, Chordata, Actinopteri, Salmoniformes, Salmonidae. The transcript has 2 exons.
GCCAUGCUCUACCAACUGAGCUACAGGGGACCUGAUUGAUCAUUUUGAUUAUGGAAAAUUGAAUCCCUGUGUUUCAAACGGUUUGCUUGGAAUGAUUUGUAGCUAUUGUCUAUCAGUUCAUUAGUGUUUCCUUACCAGAAAACACGCGAUACCGUAAAGUGGUGUGUAUUCACCCACCCAAAUUCAGGAGGAAACUGAAGCGCGGAUAGCUUGACUACUGCCGCGUUCAAAACAACUGGGAGCUCGGAAUUCAAAACUUGGAAAUAACCGACUUCCGUACGUUCAAGACAACUGGGAACUCGAAAAACAUCCAUCUCGGAAUUCCAAAUCGGGGACUCAGGCGUCUUUCUAGAGUUCCGACUAUCCGCCCUUAAGAUCACUGACGUCAUGAUUUGACCUCGGGUUUUUUCCCGAUUUCCCAUUUGCGCACCAUGCGUUUUGCGCGUGUGGGCUCACUUAACCGCAGCGAAAUAUCUAGUGACCUACGCUUGUGAAGUACCGUAAAGAAGUGCUACCCGUUUGUCCCUUGUAAUAUCCGACCCAGACAUGACAUCCCAACUACAAUAAAAACUCAGGUACAUUAAUACAUAAGAUGUCCCGUUUCUUGAUUUUAUUUUAACUGGACACAAUUGUUACACAGUAUCUUUUCAUAUAUCUUUAGUUAUUUUCACAUAUAUCUUUAGAUUUAGUUAUUUAAACAUCAGAGUAACCAAACGUAACACCUAAAAGCAUCUGUAAAACAAUACAUUUAGUGCAAUUUACAGUUCAAACUAAAAACAGCUUUUGUCUGCAAAAAUAUACAUAUUUAUUCAUUUAGCCUUUUAACUCCGAUUGAGACUUGGUAAAAACUUAAAUUAACUUCUAUUACGGAAAAUAAAAUAAAAACAGAAUUGACAACAUAAGUCAUCUAUAGGCACAUUAGCUCAAAAUGGUCUAGAAAUGCCUAGAUUAAGAUAUUCAACCACUGCACCAGCAGGAGUGGACCACACAUCAUGUUAAACAUUUUGACACACAGGUAACACCACCAAGGUUCUAGAAGCAUUUCAAUGAGGCACUACGUGGAGUUUAGAUCUAAUGACACCACAGAACGACAAUUUGGCCUGAAGGUACAUCGCACAGCAACAGGCUCAAAUGACGCAGAAGCUGUAAACUUACUACGGUAUGCACAUAAGUGA